GUAAGGGCGACUGAAAAGGGAUGAGCCCAGCGCGUAGCCUGCAGGCCCGCCCCACUCGAUGGGUCCCGGGCCUGUGAGGGAUGCCGCGUAUGGGAGGAAUCAAGGGGGAGCUAGCCCGACUUGAAGUAUUUAUUGAAUGUUGUCUCACUGCCCACAGAGGGUGUAAGGCCCGUAACGUCGGCGUUUAGCGUCCCUCGCUGGUUCCUCUCGAGAGUCGGGUUGCUUGAAAAUGCAGCCCUAAGUAGGUGGUAAACUCCAUCUAAGGCUAAAUAUUCCCACGAGACCGAUAGUCGACAAGUACCGCGAGGGAAAGUUGAAAAGGACUCUGAAGAGAGAGUUCAAAAGAGCGUGAAACUACCACGAGGUUAAAGCGAGUUGAGCGUUCGUAUCCGACCGGCUGGAUUCAGCCUGCCCCGGACGUUAGCGGCGGAGGGUCGCAAAACGCAUUGAACGGAUCUCCCUCGAUUCUUCGGAACCUUUCCUAGUCUCUUGGGCUGACCGGCGUUACCUCCGGACGCGCGGAAGGGGGAUGCACUUCUGGCCGAAGUAGGACGUCGCGGCCGUUCAGGAGGUGUCGAAGACACGGGGGUCAAGGAAACCGCAUCUUUUCGUCCCGGAUCAAGCGCCCUAUCGUCGUUUUUGACGGCGGUAAGGCGUUCCGGACCGCGAGUUGAGCGGGGCCGCCUCGUUGAUCUGACGGCCUCUCGGACGGUGAAAUCAAGUCAAAAGCGUGCCUGCCGACUGGGUUAGGCGCCCUCUCCCUCCUCUCCGACGGAGAAGAGGCGAAGGCGUCCCCGCAUAAAAG
This 805-nucleotide ribosomal RNA is filed under the name Platyarthrus hoffmannseggii. Its description in RNAcentral is "eukaryotic LSU rRNA". It matches the Rfam family "Eukaryotic large subunit ribosomal RNA", at positions 83 to 635 of the family's 3401-position model. Lineage: Eukaryota; Metazoa; Arthropoda; Malacostraca; Isopoda; Platyarthridae. The record is from RNAcentral.